AUUGAGCGCUGGCGGCAGGCCUAACACAUGCAAGUCGAGCGGUAGAGAGAAGCUUGCUUCUCUUGAGAGCGGCGGACGGGUGAGUAAUGCCUAGGAAUCUGCCUGGUAGUGGGGGAUAACGUUCGGAAACGGACGCUAAUACCGCAUACGUCCUACGGGAGAAAGCAGGGGACCUUCGGGCCUUGCGCUAUCAGAUGAGCCUAGGUCGGAUUAGCUAGUUGGUGAGGUAAUGGCUCACCAAGGCGACGAUCCGUAACUGGUCUGAGAGGAUGGUCAGUCACACUGGAACUGAGACACGGUCCAGACUCCUACGGGAGGCAGCAGUGGGGAAUAUUGGACAAUGGGCGAAAGCCUGAUCCAGCCAUGCCGCGUGUGUGAAGAAGGUCUUCGGAUUGUAAAGCACUUUAAGUUGGGAGGAAGGGCAGUUACCUAAUACGUGAUUGUUUUGACGUUACCGACAGAAUAAGCACCGGCUAACUCUAUGCCAGCAGCCGCGGUAA
This 500-nucleotide ribosomal RNA is filed under the name uncultured bacterium. Its description in RNAcentral is "bacterial SSU rRNA". It matches the Rfam family "Bacterial small subunit ribosomal RNA", at positions 30 to 523 of the family's 1533-position model. The record is from RNAcentral.